Molecule: unclassified non-coding RNA, 1031 nt
Filed under: Hevea brasiliensis (rubber tree)
Lineage: Eukaryota; Viridiplantae; Streptophyta; Magnoliopsida; Malpighiales; Euphorbiaceae
Source: RNAcentral
AAACACCUCAUUUGUACAAAAUCUUGCUUCUUCUCUUCUUCUACCAAAUCAACAAGCAUAUUCCUAAAAUUAAAAAACUAUUUGGACACACACUCUGUGCAUACGGAUGCCAUUCCGUCUACUAUACAAGCAUAUGUAUUCUAAGCUAGGAGCUUGAGCUUCUUGUUCUGCACUCUUCAUCCUCCUCCAUUUGUUAUCCAUGGAUGCCUUAAAACUUGUUCGGCGGAGAGCCUCUUGGAAACAUCUCUACAAAGCAUCCUCCUUAGCAGAUCUUUAACAGCCGACGACACGCCGUGGAAAGCUCUAACAGGAAACCUCAAGUUCCCUCUCAAAACCGCAUCAAAAAUCUCCUCUGCCGUUUCACCGUAGAACGGCGGAAAGCCGGCUAACAAAAUAUACAACACCACACCAGCACUCCAAAUAUCUACCUUCUCCCCGUACUCUCUCCCCACCAAAACCUCCGGCGCCACGUAGUACGGCGUCCCUACAACACCAUUAAUCAUCUCCCCCUCCAUAACCACCUCAGCGGAACCAAAAUCUGCUAACUUCACCGAAUUUAAAGAGUCGAGCAAAAUGUUAUCCGGCUUGAUGUCGCGGUGAACGACGCCGUACUUGUGGCAGUGGGAAACGGCUUUCAUCAGCUGUAUAAAGAGCAGUCUGGCCUCCGCCUCGGGAACAACGCCAUUAGAGAUGAUUAAAUUGUGAAGAUCUUGACCGGAGCACAAGUCCAUUACCAUGUGAAGGUACGAUUCGUCUUCAUAGAGGUUGUAGAGUUGGAUUACGUGAGGAUGAGGCGAGAGAAGGUGGAGAAUCUUUGGUUCGGAGAGAAGGCAUUGGGCGUCGAGGGAGUCACCGGAUGUAAGGCUCUUAUCGAUAGACUUGACGGCGAAAGAGUUACCAGUAGCACGAGAGGUACAUCUGAAAACGGUGCCGAAACGUCCACGGCCGAUCUCGUCACAGAUUAGGUAGUCUCUGUUUAAAGCUUCGCUCAUUGCUUUGCUCUGCUCUGUUUUUUGGGUUGGUUAUUUCUG